This 569-nucleotide ribosomal RNA is filed under the name uncultured fungus. Its description in RNAcentral is "bacterial SSU rRNA". It matches the Rfam family "Eukaryotic small subunit ribosomal RNA", at positions 194 to 755 of the family's 1831-position model. The record is from RNAcentral. Lineage: Eukaryota; Fungi.
GGAAGGGAUGUAUUUAUUAGAUCCAAAACCAGCGCAGGUCUCCCUCGGGAGCCUGGUUGCUCGGUGAUUCAUGAUAACUGCUCGAACCGUAUGGCCCUCGUGCCGACGGUGCUUCAUUCAAAUUUCUGCCCUAUCAACUUUCGAUGGUACGGUAGUGGCCUACCAUGGUUGCAACGGGUGACGGAGAAUUAGGGUUCGGUUCCGGAGAGGGAGCCUGAGAAACGGCUACCACAUCCAAGGAAGGCAGCAGGCGCGCAAAUUACCCAAUCCCGACACGGGGAGGUAGUGACAAUAAAUACUGAUACAGGGCUCUUUUGGGUCUUGUAAUUGGAAUGAGUACAAUUUAAAUCUCUUAACGAGGAACAAUUGGAGGGCAAGUCUGGUGCCAGCAGCCGCGGUAAUUCCAGCUCCAAUAGCGUAUAUUAAAGUUGUUGCAGUUAAAAAGCUCGUAGUUGAAACUUGGGCCUGGCUGGCCGGUCCGCCUCACCGCGUGCACUCGUCCGGCCGGGCCUUCCUUCUGAAGAACCUCAUGCCCUUCACUGGGCGUGCUGGGGAACCAGGACUUUUAC